GCGCACCAGUCGAGAAUUUUUCACAAUGGGGGAAACCCUGAUGGAGCGACGCCGCGUGGAGGAUGAAGGCGUUUUCGUCGUAAACUCCUGUCAAACGGGAACAAGAAAGUGAUAGUACCGUUAGAGGAAGAGGCGGCUAACUCUGUGCCAGCAGCCGCGGUAAUACAGAGGCCUCAAGCGUUGUUCGGAUUCAUUGGGCGUAAAGGGUGCGUAGGUGGCUUGGUAAGUUGAAGGUGAAAUCUCGGGGCUUAACUCCGAAACUGCCUUCAAUACUGCCGAGCUCGAGGAUUGUAGAGGAGAAUGGAAUUCACGGUGUAGCAGUGAAAUGCGUAGAUAUCGUGAGGAAGACCAGUGGCGAAGGCGAUUCUCUGGGCAAUUCCUGACACUGAGGCACGAAGGCUAGGGGAGCAAACGGGAUUAGAUACCCCUGUAGU
This 434-nucleotide ribosomal RNA is filed under the name uncultured organism. RNAcentral describes it as "bacterial SSU rRNA". It matches the Rfam family "Bacterial small subunit ribosomal RNA", at positions 346 to 794 of the family's 1533-position model. The record is from RNAcentral.